Molecule: ribosomal RNA, 500 nt
Filed under: uncultured bacterium
Lineage: Bacteria
Description: partial 16S ribosomal RNA
Rfam family: Bacterial small subunit ribosomal RNA
Source: RNAcentral
AUUGAACGCUGGCGGCAGGCCUAACACAUGCAAGUCGAGCGGCAGCGGGACCUUCGGGUUGCCGGCGAGCGGCGGACGGGUGAGUAAUGCCUAGGAAUCUGCCUGUUAGUGGGGGAUAACGCGGGGAAACUCGCGCUAAUACCGCAUACGUCCUACGGGAGAAAGCGGGGGCUCUUCGGACCUCGCGCUAACAGAUGAGCCUAGGCCGGAUUAGCUAGUUGGUGGGGUAAUGGCCCACCAAGGCGACGAUCCGUAACUGGUCUGAGAGGAUCAUCAGUCCAACUGGAACUGAGACACGGUCCAGACUCCUACGGGAGGCAGCAGUGGGGAAUAUUGUACAAUGGGCGAAAGCCUGAUCCAGCCAUGCCGCGUGUGUGAAGAAGGUCUUCGGAUUGUAAAGCACUUUAAGUCGGGAGGAAGGGCUGUAGGCUAAUACCUUGCAGUUUUGACGUUACCGACAGAAUAAGCACCGGCUAACUUCGUGCCAGCCGCCGCCGUAA